Molecule: long non-coding RNA, 318 nt
Filed under: Malus domestica (apple)
Lineage: Eukaryota; Viridiplantae; Streptophyta; Magnoliopsida; Rosales; Rosaceae
Description: long non-coding RNA (MDOM_LNC003739)
Source: RNAcentral
UCUCCCAAUCACAAAUUCCUUGGACUUUAUUGUUUAAGCAUAUAACAUUUAUAUGAGACGGCUCAAACAAUAAUUUAUGCCCUUUAUAUGUUAAACUAGAUUAGUUUAACAUGUGAAAUGUCCGUAAAGUAUCAUCACAUGAUUGGCUUUAGUGCACAUUUCCAACAGCCAGAAAUGCUAUGUUUCUUGAAGAACAAUUUGUUCUCAAAUGAACUAUAAGCAAACAGAUGGAAAUUAAUGAGAUUAAUAAUGAACCACAAACGAGCACUCGACAUAUUGACAACCCUGUUCCUGAACCCCUAGCUCCACGUAGAUCUG